Molecule: microRNA precursor, 75 nt
Filed under: Bombyx mori (domestic silkworm)
Lineage: Eukaryota; Metazoa; Arthropoda; Insecta; Lepidoptera; Bombycidae
Description: mir-2774 microRNA precursor family
Rfam family: mir-2774 microRNA precursor family
Source: Rfam by way of RNAcentral
ACAACAUUCGGACCAUCGGUCUACCGAGUAAUAGAGUAGUAUCACCCGCUCGAUGGAAGAUCUUCCCUUUGUCGU